GUCCCAUUCCGAACCCAGAAGUUAAGCCCGUAAACGCUGAAAGUACUUGGAGGGAAGCCUCCCGGGAGGAUAGGAACUUGCCAAGC
This 86-nucleotide ribosomal RNA is filed under the name Fusobacterium ulcerans. Lineage: Bacteria; Fusobacteriati; Fusobacteriota; Fusobacteriia; Fusobacteriales; Fusobacteriaceae. RNAcentral also lists the same sequence under 1 other name. The record is from RNAcentral.